GGUUGUAGCUCAGUGGUACAGCACUUGCCUAGCAUGUGUGAGGCCCUGGGUUCGAUCCUCAGCACCA
This 67-nucleotide transfer RNA is filed under the name Marmota monax (woodchuck). RNAcentral describes it as "tRNA.Ala". The record is from RNAcentral. Lineage: Eukaryota; Metazoa; Chordata; Mammalia; Rodentia; Sciuridae.